RNAcentral lists this ribosomal RNA (2902 nucleotides) under Klebsiella pneumoniae. Its description in RNAcentral is "23S ribosomal RNA". It matches the Rfam family "Bacterial large subunit ribosomal RNA". Lineage: Bacteria; Pseudomonadati; Pseudomonadota; Gammaproteobacteria; Enterobacterales; Enterobacteriaceae. The record is from RNAcentral.
GGUUAAGCGACUAAGCGUACACGGUGGAUGCCCUGGCAGUCAGAGGCGAUGAAGGACGUGCUAAUCUGCGAAAAGCGUCGGUAAGGUGAUAUGAACCGUUAUAGCCGGCGAUGUCCGAAUGGGGAAACCCAGUGUGAUUCGUCACACUAUCGUUAACUGAAUACAUAGGUUAACGAGGCGAACCGGGGGAACUGAAACAUCUAAGUACCCCGAGGAAAAGAAAUCAACCGAGAUUCCCCCAGUAGCGGCGAGCGAACGGGGAGCAGCCCAGAGUCUGAAUCAGCUUGUGUGUUAGUGGAACGGUCUGGAAAGUCCGACGGUACAGGGUGAUAGUCCCGUACACCAAAAUGCACAGGCUGUGAACUCGAAGAGUAGGGCGGGACACGUGGUAUCCUGUCUGAAUAUGGGGGGACCAUCCUCCAAGGCUAAAUACUCCUGACUGACCGAUAGUGAACCAGUACCGUGAGGGAAAGGCGAAAAGAACCCCGGCGAGGGGAGUGAAAAAGAACCUGAAACCGUGUACGUACAAGCAGUGGGAGCACCUUCGGGUGUGACUGCGUACCUUUUGUAUAAUGGGUCAGCGACUUAUAUUCUGUAGCAAGGUUAACCGUAUAGGGGAGCCGCAGGGAAACCGAGUCUUAACUGGGCGUUAAGUUGCAGGGUAUAGACCCGAAACCCGGUGAUCUAGCCAUGGGCAGGUUGAAGGUUGGGUAACACUAACUGGAGGACCGAACCGACUAAUGUUGAAAAAUUAGCGGAUGACUUGUGGCUGGGGGUGAAAGGCCAAUCAAACUGGGAGAUAGCUGGUUCUCCCCGAAAGCUAUUUAGGUAGCGCCUCGUGAAUUCAUCUUCGGGGGUAGAGCACUGUUUCGGCUAGGGGGUCAUCCCGACUUACCAACCCGAUGCAAACUACGAAUACCGAAGAAUGUUAUCACGGGAGACACACGGCGGGUGCUAACGUCCGUCGUGAAGAGGGAAACAACCCAGACCGCCAGCUAAGGUCCCAAAGUCAUGGUUAAGUGGGAAACGAUGUGGGAAGGCACAGACAGCCAGGAUGUUGGCUUAGAAGCAGCCAUCAUUUAAAGAAAGCGUAAUAGCUCACUGGUCGAGUCGGCCUGCGCGGAAGAUGUAACGGGGCUAAACCAUGCACCGAAGCUGCGGCAGCGACACUAUGUGUUGUUGGGUAGGGGAGCGUUCUGUAAGCCUGCGAAGGUGUGCUGUGAGGCAUGCUGGAGGUAUCAGAAGUGCGAAUGCUGACAUAAGUAACGAUAAAGCGGGUGAAAAGCCCGCUCGCCGGAAGACCAAGGGUUCCUGUCCAACGUUAAUCGGGGCAGGGUGAGUCGACCCCUAAGGCGAGGCCGAAAGGCGUAGUCGAUGGGAAACAGGUUAAUAUUCCUGUACUUGGUGUUACUGCGAAGGGGGGACGGAGAAGGCUAUGUUAGCCGGGCGACGGUUGUCCCGGUUUAAGCAUGUAGGCUGGUUGUCCAGGCAAAUCCGGAUAAUCAAGGCUGAGGUGUGAUGACGAGGCACUACGGUGCUGAAGUAACAAAUGCCCUGCUUCCAGGAAAAGCCUCUAAGCAUCAGGUAACAUCAAAUCGUACCCCAAACCGACACAGGUGGUCAGGUAGAGAAUACCAAGGCGCUUGAGAGAACUCGGGUGAAGGAACUAGGCAAAAUGGUGCCGUAACUUCGGGAGAAGGCACGCUGGUGUGUAGGUGAAGUCCCUGCGGAUGGAGCUGAGACCAGUCGAAGAUACCAGCUGGCUGCAACUGUUUAUUAAAAACACAGCACUGUGCAAACACGAAAGUGGACGUAUACGGUGUGACGCCUGCCCGGUGCCGGAAGGUUAAUUGAUGGGGUUAUCCGUAAGGAGAAGCUCUUGAUCGAAGCCCCGGUAAACGGCGGCCGUAACUAUAACGGUCCUAAGGUAGCGAAAUUCCUUGUCGGGUAAGUUCCGACCUGCACGAAUGGCGUAAUGAUGGCCAGGCUGUCUCCACCCGAGACUCAGUGAAAUUGAACUCGCUGUGAAGAUGCAGUGUACCCGCGGCAAGACGGAAAGACCCCGUGAACCUUUACUAUAGCUUGACACUGAACAUUGAGCCUUGAUGUGUAGGAUAGGUGGGAGGCUUUGAAGCGUGGACGCCAGUCUGCGUGGAGCCAACCUUGAAAUACCACCCUUUAAUGUUUGAUGUUCUAACGUUGGCCCCUUACCGGGGUUGCGGACAGUGUCUGGUGGGUAGUUUGACUGGGGCGGUCUCCUCCCAAAGCGUAACGGAGGAGCACGAAGGUUAGCUAAUCCUGGUCGGACAUCAGGAGGUUAGUGCAAUGGCAUAAGCUAGCUUGACUGCGAGCGUGACGGCGCGAGCAGGUGCGAAAGCAGGUCAUAGUGAUCCGGUGGUUCUGAAUGGAAGGGCCAUCGCUCAACGGAUAAAAGGUACUCCGGGGAUAACAGGCUGAUACCGCCCAAGAGUUCAUAUCGACGGCGGUGUUUGGCACCUCGAUGUCGGCUCAUCACAUCCUGGGGCUGAAGUAGGUCCCAAGGGUAUGGCUGUUCGCCAUUUAAAGUGGUACGCGAGCUGGGUUUAGAACGUCGUGAGACAGUUCGGUCCCUAUCUGCCGUGGGCGCUGGAGAAUUGAGGGGGGCUGCUCCUAGUACGAGAGGACCGGAGUGGACGCAUCACUGGUGUUCGGGUUGUCAUGCCAAUGGCACUGCCCGGUAGCUAAAUGCGGAAGAGAUAAGUGCUGAAAGCAUCUAAGCACGAAACUUGCCCCGAGAUGAGUUCUCCCUGAGACUUUAAGUCUCCUGAAGGAACGUUGAAGACGACGACGUUGAUAGGCCGGGUGUGUAAGCGCAGCGAUGCGUUGAGCUAACCGGUACUAAUGAACCGUGAGGCUUAACCUU